RNAcentral lists this transfer RNA (61 nucleotides) under Hydrophis melanocephalus. RNAcentral's name for it is "tRNA-Cys". Lineage: Eukaryota; Metazoa; Chordata; Lepidosauria; Squamata; Elapidae. The record is from RNAcentral.
AACUCUUAGGUGUAAUACACAUCAGAGUGCAAAUCUGAAGUAGGCUAUUUGCCAGGAGUUU